GUUCUGCUGGGGCGCGCAGCUGCUUGGGGCUGAAGAGCCGCACCCAGGCCUGAGGUCCAGCUUGGGCCCCGGCGACCCGCGGGUGGGCGGGCUCAUGGGCGCCCUCUGGUGCUUCGCUCCCUGGCUUUGCGCUCGGAGCUUUGACUUGAGAAUCCAUAUCCUUCGUUCAGCACAAAGUUUCUGAGCGCCUACCACGUGGAGAGAGCUAAGUGCUAGGUGCUGUGAAGAAACACAGCGUUUAAGACAGGAUCCCUGUCUUCCAGAAGCUUUUCAAAUAAACGGAUUGAUUCCAGGAAUAAAUAGCU
This 305-nucleotide long non-coding RNA is filed under the name Homo sapiens (human). RNAcentral describes it as "HSALNT0361084". The record is from RNAcentral. Lineage: Eukaryota; Metazoa; Chordata; Mammalia; Primates; Hominidae.